This 868-nucleotide ribosomal RNA is filed under the name uncultured archaeon. RNAcentral's name for it is "bacterial SSU rRNA". It matches the Rfam family "Archaeal small subunit ribosomal RNA", at positions 1 to 878 of the family's 1478-position model. The record is from RNAcentral.
CUCCGGUUGAUCCUGCCGGACCCGACUGCUAUCAGAGUGGGACUAAGCCAUGCGAGUCAACGUAGCAAUACGUGGCAUACGGCUCAGUAACACGUAGUCAACAUGCCCAGGGGACGGGGAUAACCUCGGGAAACUGAGGAUAAACCUCGAUAGGCCAUGAUUUCUGGAAUGAUUCUUGGCUCAAACCUAUAUGGCCCCUGGAUUGGACUGCGGCCGAUCAGGCUGUUGGUGAGGUAAUGGCCCACCAAACCUAUUACCGGUACGGGCUCUGAGAGGAGGAGCCCGGAGAUGGGCACUGAGACAAGGGCCCAGGCCCUAUGGGGCGCAGCAGGCGCGAAACCUCUGCAAUAGGCGAAAGCUUGACAGGGUUACUCUGAGUGAUUUCCGCUAAGGGAAUCUUUUGGCACCUCUAAAAAUGGUGCAGAAUAAGGGGUGGGCAAGUCUGGUGUCAGCCGCCGCGGUAAUACCAGCACCCCGAGUGGUCGGGACGAUUAUUGGGCCUAAAGCAUCCGUAGCCGGUCCUGCAAGUCUUCCGUUAAAUCCAGCUGCUCAACAGAUGGGCUGCGGGAGAUACUACAGGGCUAGGAGGCGGGAGAGGCAAGCGGUACUUUAUGGGUAGGGGUAAAAUCCGCUGAUCCAUAGAAGACCACCAGUGGCGAAGGCGGCUUGCCAGAACGCGCUCGACGGUGAGGGAUGAAAGCUGGGGGAGCAAACCGGAUUAGAUACCCGGGUAGUCCCAGCUGUAAACGAUGCAGACUCGGUGAUGGGUUGGCCUCGCGCCUGCCCAGUGCCGCAGGGAAGCCGUUAAGUCUGCCGCCUGGGGAGUACGGUCGCAAGACUGAAACUUAAAGGAAUUGGCGGGGGAGCA